GUUGAAAACGGCGGCGAUGACCUGCGGAUAGGGGUGAAAGGCCAAUCAAACCCGGUGAUAGCUGGUUCUCCCCGAAAUAUAUUGAGGUAUAGCCUCAUGGAUUGUCUACCGGAGGUAAAGCACUGACAGGGCUAGGGGUCCUACCAGAUUACCAAACCCUAUCAAACUCAGAAUGCCGGUCAGAUGUACCAUGGGAGUCAGACGGCGGGUGCUAAGGUCCGUCGUCGAGAGGGUAAGAGCCCAGAUCAACAGCUAAGGUCUCCAAAUCUAUGCUCAGUGGUUAAGGUGGUGACGUUGUAGAGACACCCAGGACGUUGGCUUAGAAGCAGCCAUCGUUUAAAGAAAGCGUAAUAGCUCACUGGUCUAAUGACGUUGCGCCGAAAAUGUAACGGGGCUAAGCAUAGUACCGAAGCUUUGAAUUCCGCAUAUGCGGUCUGGUAGGGGAGCGUUCUUCACGGGCUGAAGGUGUGUCGUAAGGCAUGCUGGACUGUGGAGAAGUGAUUAUGCUGACAUGAGUAACGAUAAAACGGGUGAAAAACCCGUUCGCCGUAAACCCAAGGUUUUCCGGGUAAAGGUAAUCUUCCCGGAGUUAGUCGGCCCCUAAGGCGAGGCUGAAAGGCGUAGCUGAUGGGAAACGUGUUAAUAUUCACGUACUUGUGUGUUCGCGCGAUGAAGGGACGCAGGAAGAUAGGCAAGCCGGGCGCUGGUUGUCCCGGUGCAAGCGUGUAGGGAUGAAGAGUUGGCAAAUCCGCUCUUCUCUAUCCUGAGACGCGAGUCCGUGACCGAAAGGUCUGAAGUUGUUGAGUCUAUGCUGCCUAGAAAAGCUUCUAAGUAUAGGACACGCAAACCGUACCGGAAACCAACUCAGGUGGGUGGGAUGAACAAUCCAAGGCGCUCGAGAGAACUCUGGCCAAGGAACUCGGCAAAAUAACCCCGUACCUUCGGAAGAAGGGGUGCUUUUUAGGGUGAAGCGAUUCACUCUGUCGAGCCCUGAAAAGCCGCAGAGAAAUGGUGGUGGCGACUGUUUACUAAAAACAUAGGUCUGUGCCAAGUCGUAUAGACGACGUAUACGGACUGACGCCUGCCCGGUGCUGGAAGGUUAAAAGGAGGAGUCAGCGCAAGCGAAGCUCCGAAUUGAAGCCCCAGUAAACGGCGGCCGUAACUAUAACGGUCCUAAGGUAGCGAAAUUCCUUGUCGGGUAAGUUCCGACCUGCACGAAUGGCGUAACGAUCUCCACACUGUCUCGGCCAGAGACUCGGUGAAAUUGAAGUCGCGGUGAAAAUGCCGUGUACCCGCAGAAAGACGGAAAGACCCUGUGCACCUUUACUAUAGCUUGACAUUGGGAUUUGAGCCUGCAUGUGUAGCAUAGGUGGGAGGCUGUGAACUCUGUACGCCAGUAUGGAGGGAGCCAUCGUUGAAAUACCACCCUUGUUUGUUCAGGUCCCUAACUCCUUGCCGUGAUCCGGCAGGAGGACAGUGUCUGGUGGGUAGUUUGACUGGGGCGGUCGCCUCCCAAAAUGUAACGGAGGCAUGCAAAGGUUCCCUCAGGCUGAUUGGAAACCAGCCGUCGAGUGCAAACGCAAAAGGGAGCUUGACUGCAAGAGAGACAUCUCGAGCAGGUACGAAAGUAGGUGUUAGUGAUCCGGUGAUCCCGAAUGGAAGGGUCAUCGCUCAUUGGAUAAAAGGUACGCCGGGGAUAACAGGCUGAUCGCAUCCAAGAGUUCACAUCGACGAUGCGGUUUGGCACCUCGAUGUCGGCUCAUCACAUCCUGGGGCUGAAGCAGGUCCCAAGGGUACGGCUGUUCGCCGUUUAAAGUGGUACGCGAGCUGGGUUUAAAACGUCGUGAGACAGUUUGGUCCCUAUCUUCUGUGGGCGUAGGAGAAUUGAAAGGGCCUGUCCCUAGUACGAGA
Molecule: ribosomal RNA, 1911 nt
Filed under: human gut metagenome
Description: bacterial LSU rRNA
Rfam family: Bacterial large subunit ribosomal RNA
Source: RNAcentral